CAGUCGCCACGGUAAUACGUAGGUGGCAAGCGUUGUCCGGAAUUAUUGGGCGUAAAGGGCUCGCAGGCGGUUUCUUAAGUCUGAUGUGAAAGCCCCCGGCUCAACCGGGGAGGGUCAUUGGAAGCUGGGAAACUUGAGUGCAGAAGAGGAGAGUGGAAUUCCACGUGUAGCGGUGAAAUGCGUAGAGAUGUGGAGGAACACCAGUGGCGAAGGCGACUCUCUGGUCUGUAACUGACGCUGAGGAGCGAAAGCGUGGGGAGCGAACAGGAUUAGAUACCCCAGUAGUCCCUGUCUCUUAUAC
Molecule: ribosomal RNA, 301 nt
Filed under: uncultured bacterium
Lineage: Bacteria
Description: partial 16S ribosomal RNA
Rfam family: Bacterial small subunit ribosomal RNA
Source: RNAcentral